AAGUCGUAACAAGGUUUCCGUAGGUGAACCUGCGGAAGGAUCAUUACAUUCAGUAGCCUAGCUACUUGUUUACACCCUUGUUUUUUGCGUACCUAUUGUUUCCUCGGUGGGCUUGCCUGCCGGUUGGACAAAACUUAUAACCUUUUUAAAUCUUCAAUCAGCGUCUGAAUUAUACAUAAUAAUUACAACUUUCAACAACGGAUCUCUUGGUUCUG
Molecule: unclassified non-coding RNA, 215 nt
Filed under: Phaeosphaeria podocarpi
Lineage: Eukaryota; Fungi; Ascomycota; Dothideomycetes; Pleosporales; Phaeosphaeriaceae
Also listed under: 4 other names
Description: partial internal transcribed spacer region
Rfam family: Eukaryotic small subunit ribosomal RNA (bases 1-46)
Source: RNAcentral